This is a long non-coding RNA of Sebastes umbrosus (honeycomb rockfish), 3384 nucleotides long. RefSeq lists it as uncharacterized. The transcript has 2 exons. The record is from RefSeq and is a predicted model, not a curated record. Lineage: Eukaryota; Metazoa; Chordata; Actinopteri; Perciformes; Sebastidae.
UGUCAUGGCGAGGGCAGGCUGGGGGGGGAGAAAUAUGAGACAUGUCCAGGCUGUGCCAGCAGCAGCAGCUAUAAUAAAGACUGCUCUCCUCUGCACUGCCACUUGUGUGCACGGCAGCAACACGGUAUAUUAAUUACCCAGCGCCUUCUCUGUGUCAUUCACCAGUGAGGGGAAUGAAGAAGAAAAAUUUCCAAGGCACGUCCUUAAAAUAAAGCAGCACUGUACGUGCUCAGAGUAUUAACUUCCACACAGAUGACCCAUUUUUCCAUCUCAAAGGAUGGGUGGAAAAAAAGAGAGAGGGGUGGGUGGUGGUGGUGGUGGUGGUGGUGGUGGUGGGUUGGUGGGGGGGGGAGGCAACAGUGGAGCCAAUCACGUGAAUCUAAAGCAGGCUACAAAUCCUGGCGGAUUUCUCUUCCUCUUUGGGGCAAUGUCUUGCUGUCAACUGUUUUCCAUUUCUCUCCUACUCCCCCCCCGUCGUAAUUUACUGCUGCCCUUCCUCCAUGCAGGUCUCAUCCCUCCUCCAUGUGUAAACCCAGCCAGCCUGUUGUUUACAUUCCCAGUGAGCUGCAGGGUGUGGACAGACGACCCCCCAACACUCUCUAAUGUCAUCCUGCCCCCCCACCCUGCCUCCAGCCUCCACCUAUCUCCUCAUCACCAGAUCCCUGAUAAAGCGGAAAUUCAAUAGCACCACUCUGCCCAGAGAGAACUCCUCGCAGCGAGCUGUUUUCUGAGACGAGGCUUUGAUGUGGAUGAGGGAGGUGAGGCGUCGUGUGCCCAGAUGCCCAGACACUGUGGUUAAGGGGGUUUUAUCACACAGACAGGAGGACAGCGCUCAUCUCCUGCCCGCCCAUCUUUCACCGCGGCGGGAGGCUGAAUGUGACAACCAAUGCUCCCCAGCUGCUAGGGGGGGCCAGGCCCGCGAAACCACAAGCAGAUAAUGAAUGCCGCACCAUCGUGACAACUUGCACUUUUAUGGAAAGGGGAGGAAGGACAUCUCUGGCACGGACGCUCGCAGCAUAUGAUGAAACAUCCCCCAUAAACCACCAGACAAUCACAGGGAGGGCAGGGAAGCAUGUGUGGAAUCCGAGACGGGAAACCUCGGCUGAUUUAUGACCGCUACCAAAAAAGGUCUGUUUCCAAGUAAACGUGUUUAGAGCUUAAUUGCUGGAAAACCGAAGAGAGAUUGCUUUCCAAAUGCAACCACAACAUAUGUAAACGAUGCAUUACGGUUGCAUUUCUCCAUGAUCUUCCCCACUUUUCCAGCUCUGAAUAAGCCACAUGCUAGUCAUAAACAAUUUCCCCCAAAAAUGAAGAGUUUUCCAAUUAGGUCAGUAUUUGCUAUUCUUGGUUUCCCCUCCUCUCACAGUCAUGUUAUUUUGUAUUCUAUACAUCACAUAAAUUACUUUGCAUACCCUUCUGCUUUCAAGGCAGAUGUUACUAGAAAAGCUUUGAUCUUCUUCCAAUAGCAAGCCUGAAAUAUCUUCUAAAUAAAGGAGUCAUAAUUAUGCACACAUAUUUUUUAUGUAUUAUUCACCAGGGUUUUAUCCAACUCUGGCUGAAUUAAUACAUGCAAAGGAGUAAAUACUUUGUGCGUUAUACAGAAAAGGACAGCAGCGAUGUGAAAAUGAUGCCCGACAUCCGAGUGCUGUGUUGUUAACUGCUGUGCCGGGGAUGUCAGAGUCCAUUUUCUAGCGAGGCAGCUCAAAAAUAGACAGGAGCUCCAGUAAUAAAUAAGCCUACUUUGGGAAAGUUUUAUUUUGGCUCAGAGGGAAGAGGUUACAUAACGCAUGAAAUACUCCUUCUUUUCUUUUUUGGCUCAACAAGAAAAAAAGAAAGAAAUGUAACCUUUGUCGAGAUAAGAUGCUGGAGGAAAAAAAUGUCCAAAUAUAAACGUUCCUGUACAUACAUAUUCAUACUGCUGUAUAAAGAUUAUAAUGAAGUUGGAUGUGUCACUGUCACCUGCAUCAUUUAGCGAUUUUCCACACUGAUAGUGAAUAUAUCGUAUGUGUAAGUGUGAAAACCUCGGUUAACCCACUACACAACAGCUUUUCGUCAUUUACUCUCCUGUGACAGCGAGUUUCUUUCCCCCAAAAGGAAGCGCAGCGUCGGUGAUGACGCCAUGCUGGUCUGGUCUAUAGCUUAUAGUUUGGAGACAUGUUUCAACUUCUUCUGUUUGUUAUUGUCUAUUAGCGACACAAGAGUGUUUAUCCCCAAAAGGGGGCGUGGCCAUGCAAGUCUACUCUGGAUGAGGUAUUGCCAGUCUGAUGUAUACAGAAACUAGUGCAGUUAUACUGUACUGUCCUUUUAUAAAUAUGUGUGUGUUUGUGUGCAGCAGAAUGACAUUUUGAACAUUUUGUCUGAGUCUUUCACAAAACAGGAAUGACUGCACAGCUCUGCUCAGUACGAUAAACAUAACAACUAUGAGUCAGGGGUGAAACUGCCUUUUAAGGGCAAUAAGAAAGAAGCCAUUUAUAUGUGCAGCUAAUGUUGCUCAUUCUAAUAGUAGCUGAUGAAUCGGACCACCUAACCUCAAAUACCAGUUCAAUGAGUUCAAACCACGUGCUGAUUGUGCUGCAAAAGGCCAGGGAAAGUUUGUUUACAUCAAUGUCUGACUGAAAUAUGUUUGGGGGUUUCCACUGGACGGGAAAUUAUGUCGUCAGCUCACGAUGCAUGCGAGCUGAAUUACAGAAGCAAAGUUCAUGUCUUUCUGUUCCUGGUUGCAAAAAUAGACUCUGCACGGCAACCUAACCGAAACUACCGUCUGUUUAAAAAAAUGGAUGUGAAAACAAUGUUCAUUUGCAUUUUUCUGCGGGGAAUAUUUCCUCUGUUAUUUACCGAGUUGUCUGUCGUCGUGUCCUCCCCCCCCCCCCCCCCCCCCCCCCCCUCCCCAGACGAGCCCGGCAGAUUAAGGGGAUAUGUUACCAUCUUGUUUUUUUUUCUAAAUGGAUACACAUGUGGCACAUCUGGGUCCAAGCCUGACUCAUUACUCACUUUUUUAUGUUCCAUUCUCUGCAGCCAUGGCAACUGCUGCAUGUUUGGCAGAAAGCUUUUGAAGGCAGUGGAAAAAGAGAGAGAGAGAGAGCCUAGGGAGGGAGCAUAAAGGGAGAGCGAGGGAGGGAGGGAGGGAAGGAGAGCGAGCUCUCAGUAGUUGGCCUACAUCCAGUGUAAUCAUGCCAUGGAGCCGAAAUGAGGCCUUUGGCAGCACACCAGGUUUCUGAGAACAAAGAUGUGAGCUUCUAAUGUUGGCGGUGGGGCCUGCUUGGCAUCCUUUGCCAUUUCCCAGCAGCCCUUGCCUUGGCCGACUGCCAGGGCCCCCCCCCCCCCCCCCCCCCUCCUCUCCCCACCCGCCACCCCCACUGGGACUGCAAAGAGGAUCAGAAUAAA